GGUUGAACGCUAGCGGCAGGCCUAACACAUGCAAGUCGAACGGGAUCGACGGCAGCUUGCCGAAGAUGGAGAGGGUGCACGUUCUAACGCGUGAAACUACCUCUACAGGGUGAUAAGCCUCUCGAACAUAACACCCAUAGAUCACGGGGGCAUCUUCGGGUUCAUUUAUUUUGGGGAUAUGUUGGGCUCGCGUNACAUUAGGAUAGGGCACUACGCAUACUGGCACGAUGUAGGGGGCUCUGAGACACACUUCCCUGACUGGUNCNGAGACNCGNACGAGACUCCACGGGAGGAAUAUUAAAAUAUGGCAUUGACCGAACUCACCAUAUGCAACGUGCCUAUGCUGCCCAUUUUUUAAACAGUUUUGGCCAGGAUAAACUCCCUGCUUUUUGAGUUAAUGAUGAACAAGAUCCGWCCCUCCGGGG
RNAcentral lists this ribosomal RNA (425 nucleotides) under Sphingobacterium sp. TERIPS13006. Its description in RNAcentral is "partial 16S ribosomal RNA". Lineage: Bacteria; Pseudomonadati; Bacteroidota; Sphingobacteriia; Sphingobacteriales; Sphingobacteriaceae. The record is from RNAcentral.